Molecule: non-coding RNA, 24 nt
Filed under: Hippoglossus hippoglossus (Atlantic halibut)
Lineage: Eukaryota; Metazoa; Chordata; Actinopteri; Pleuronectiformes; Pleuronectidae
Also listed under: 5 other names
Gene: hhi-miR-183
Source: miRBase by way of RNAcentral
UAUGGCACUGGUAGAAUUCACUGU